GGAGUUAGCCGGUGCUUCUUCUGCGAGUAACGUCACAGAUGUAAGGUAUUAACUUACACCCUUUCCUCCUCGCUGAAAGUGCUUUACAACCCGAAGGCCUUCUUCACACACGCGGCAUGGCUGCAUCAGGGUUUCCCCCAUUGUGCAAUAUUCCCUACUGCUGCCUCCCGUAGGAGUCUGGGCCGUGUCUCAGUCCCAGUGUGGCUGAUCAUCCUCUCAGACCAGCUAGGGAUCGUCGCCUAGGUGAGCCUUUACCUCACCUACUAGCUAAUCCCACCUGGGCUUAUCCAUCAGCGCAAGGCCCGAAGGUCCCCUGCUUUCCCCCGUAGGGCGUAUGCGGUAUUAGCAGUCGUUUCCAACUGUUAUCCCCCACAAAUGGGCAAAUUCCCAGGCAUUACUCACCCGUCCGCCGCUCGUCAUCUUCAAAAGCAAGCUUUUGAAAUGUUACCGCUCGACUUGCAUGUGUUAGGCCUGCCGCCAGCGUUCAAUCUGAACCAAGAUCAAAUUCUGA
This 511-nucleotide ribosomal RNA is filed under the name uncultured bacterium. RNAcentral describes it as "partial 16S ribosomal RNA". The record is from RNAcentral.